This 2916-nucleotide ribosomal RNA is filed under the name Pseudomonas aeruginosa. RNAcentral describes it as "bacterial LSU rRNA". It matches the Rfam family "Bacterial large subunit ribosomal RNA". Lineage: Bacteria; Pseudomonadati; Pseudomonadota; Gammaproteobacteria; Pseudomonadales; Pseudomonadaceae. The record is from RNAcentral.
GUUAUAUGGUCAAGUGAAGAAGCGCAUACGGUGGAUGCCUUGGCAGUCAGAGGCGAUGAAAGACGUGGUAGCCUGCGAAAAGCUUCGGGGAGUCGGCAAACAGACUUUGAUCCGGAGAUCUCUGAAUGGGGGAACCCACCUAGGAUAACCUAGGUAUCUUGUACUGAAUCCAUAGGUGCAAGAGGCGAACCAGGGGAACUGAAACAUCUAAGUACCCUGAGGAAAAGAAAUCAACCGAGAUUCCCUUAGUAGUGGCGAGCGAACGGGGAUUAGCCCUUAAGCUUCAUUGAUUUUAGCGGAACGCUCUGGAAAGUGCGGCCAUAGUGGGUGAUAGCCCCGUACGCGAAAGGAUCUUUGAAGUGAAAUCGAGUAGGACGGAGCACGAGAAACUUUGUCUGAAUAUGGGGGGACCAUCCUCCAAGGCUAAAUACUCCUGACUGACCGAUAGUGAACCAGUACCGUGAGGGAAAGGCGAAAAGAACCCCGGCGAGGGGAGUGAAAAAGAACCUGAAACCGUGUACGUACAAGCAGUGGGAGCACGCUUAGGCGUGUGACUGCGUACCUUUUGUAUAAUGGGUCAGCGACUUAUAUUCUGUAGCAAGGUUAACCGAAUAGGGGAGCCGAAGGGAAACCGAGUCUUAACUGGGCGUUAAGUUGCAGGGUAUAGACCCGAAACCCGGUGAUCUAGCCAUGGGCAGGUUGAAGGUUGGGUAACACUAACUGGAGGACCGAACCGACUAAUGUUGAAAAAUUAGCGGAUGACUUGUGGCUGGGGGUGAAAGGCCAAUCAAACCGGGAGAUAGCUGGUUCUCCCCGAAAGCUAUUUAGGUAGCGCCUCGUGAAUUCAUCUCCGGGGGUAGAGCACUGUUUCGGCAAGGGGGUCAUCCCGACUUACCAACCCGAUGCAAACUGCGAAUACCGGAGAAUGUUAUCACGGGAGACACACGGCGGGUGCUAACGUCCGUCGUGAAGAGGGAAACAACCCAGACCGCCAGCUAAGGUCCCAAAGUCAUGGUUAAGUGGGAAACGAUGUGGGAAGGCCCAGACAGCCAGGAUGUUGGCUUAGAAGCAGCCAUCAUUUAAAGAAAGCGUAAUAGCUCACUGGUCGAGUCGGCCUGCGCGGAAGAUGUAACGGGGCUAAACCAUGCACCGAAGCUGCGGCAGCGACGCUUAUGCGUUGUUGGGUAGGGGAGCGUUCUGUAAGCCUGCGAAGGUGUGCUGUGAGGCAUGCUGGAGGUAUCAGAAGUGCGAAUGCUGACAUAAGUAACGAUAAAGCGGGUGAAAAGCCCGCUCGCCGGAAGACCAAGGGUUCCUGUCCAACGUUAAUCGGGGCAGGGUGAGUCGACCCCUAAGGCGAGGCCGAAAGGCGUAGUCGAUGGGAAACAGGUUAAUAUUCCUGUACUUGGUGUUACUGCGAAGGGGGGACGGAGAAGGCUAGGCCAGCUUGGCGUUGGUUGUCCAAGUUUAAGGUGGUAGGCUGAAAUCUUAGGUAAAUCCGGGGUUUCAAGGCCGAGAGCUGAUGACGAGUCGUCUUUUAGAUGACGAAGUGGUUGAUGCCAUGCUUCCAAGAAAAGCUUCUAAGCUUCAGGUAACCAGGAACCGUACCCCAAACCGACACAGGUGGUCGGGUAGAGAAUACCAAGGCGCUUGAGAGAACUCGGGUGAAGGAACUAGGCAAAAUGGCACCGUAACUUCGGGAGAAGGUGCGCCGGCUAGGGUGAAGGAUUUACUCCGUAAGCUCUGGCUGGUCGAAGAUACCAGGCCGCUGCGACUGUUUAUUAAAAACACAGCACUCUGCAAACACGAAAGUGGACGUAUAGGGUGUGACGCCUGCCCGGUGCCGGAAGGUUAAUUGAUGGGGUUAGCGCAAGCGAAGCUCUUGAUCGAAGCCCCGGUAAACGGCGGCCGUAACUAUAACGGUCCUAAGGUAGCGAAAUUCCUUGUCGGGUAAGUUCCGACCUGCACGAAUGGCGUAACGAUGGCGGCGCUGUCUCCACCCGAGACUCAGUGAAAUUGAAAUCGCUGUGAAGAUGCAGUGUAUCCGCGGCUAGACGGAAAGACCCCGUGAACCUUUACUGUAGCUUUGCACUGGACUUUGAGCCUGCUUGUGUAGGAUAGGUGGGAGGCUUUGAAGCGUGGACGCCAGUUCGCGUGGAGCCAUCCUUGAAAUACCACCCUGGCAUGCUUGAGGUUCUAACUCUGGUCCGUGAUCCGGAUCGAGGACAGUGUAUGGUGGGCAGUUUGACUGGGGCGGUCUCCUCCUAAAGAGUAACGGAGGAGUACGAAGGUGCGCUCAGACCGGUCGGAAAUCGGUCGCAGAGUAUAAAGGCAAAAGCGCGCUUGACUGCGAGACAGACACGUCGAGCAGGUACGAAAGUAGGUCUUAGUGAUCCGGUGGUUCUGUAUGGAAGGGCCAUCGCUCAACGGAUAAAAGGUACUCCGGGGAUAACAGGCUGAUACCGCCCAAGAGUUCAUAUCGACGGCGGUGUUUGGCACCUCGAUGUCGGCUCAUCACAUCCUGGGGCUGAAGCCGGUCCCAAGGGUAUGGCUGUUCGCCAUUUAAAGUGGUACGCGAGCUGGGUUUAGAACGUCGUGAGACAGUUCGGUCCCUAUCUGCCGUGGACGUUUGAGAUUUGAGAGGGGCUGCUCCUAGUACGAGAGGACCGGAGUGGACGAACCUCUGGUGUUCCGGUUGUCACGCCAGUGGCAUUGCCGGGUAGCUAUGUUCGGAAAAGAUAACCGCUGAAAGCAUCUAAGCGGGAAACUUGCCUCAAGAUGAGAUCUCACUGGGAACUUGAUUCCCCUGAAGGGCCGUCGAAGACUACGACGUUGAUAGGCUGGGUGUGUAAGCGUUGUGAGGCGUUGAGCUAACCAGUACUAAUUGCCCGUGAGGCUUGACCAUAUAACACCCAAACA